CCUACGGGAGGCAGCAGUGGGGAAUAUUGCACAAUGGGGGAAACCCUGAUGCAGCGACGCCGCGUGAGUGAAGAAGCGCCUCGGCGCGUAAAGCUCUGUCAGCAGGAACGAUAAUGACGGUACCUGAAGAAGAAGCCCCGGCUAACUACGUGCCAGCAGCCGCGGUAAUACGUAGGGGGCAAGCGUUAUCCGGAUUUACUGGGUGUAAAGGGAGCGUAGACGGCGGGGCAAGUCUGGAGUGAAAGGCCGGGGCCCAACCACGGAACUGCAUUUGAAACUGUCGGUCUUGAGUAUCGGAGAGGCAGGCGGAAUUCCUAGUGUAGCGGUGAAAUGCGUAGAUAUUAGGAGGAACACCAGUGGCGAAGGCGGCCUGCUGGACGACAACUGACGGUGAGGCGCGAAAGCGUGGGGAGCAAACAGGAUUAGAUACCCCAGUAGUC
RNAcentral lists this ribosomal RNA (440 nucleotides) under uncultured bacterium. RNAcentral describes it as "partial 16S ribosomal RNA". It matches the Rfam family "Bacterial small subunit ribosomal RNA", at positions 338 to 795 of the family's 1533-position model. The record is from RNAcentral.